CUCCAUUCGUCUGUCCUCAUGCUGGGCAUACUGUAGACGCCACUGACACAGGGGGCAUUGUUGUUGGGGACACAGGGCGAGUGAGGAACGUGGACGGGAUUGUGGGUCCACAGGGCAAGAGAGGAG
Herpailurus yagouaroundi (jaguarundi) is the source of this 126-nucleotide long non-coding RNA. RefSeq lists it as uncharacterized. The record is from RefSeq and is a predicted model, not a curated record. The transcript has 3 exons. Lineage: Eukaryota; Metazoa; Chordata; Mammalia; Carnivora; Felidae.